GAUGAACGCUGGCGGCGUGCCUAAUACAUGCAAGUCGAGCGAACAGACGAGGAGCUUGCUCCUCUGACGUUAGCGGCGGACGGGUGAGUAACACGUGGAUAACCUACCUAUAAGACUGGGAUAACUUCGGGAAACCGGAUCUAAUACCGGAUAAUAUAUUGAACCGCAUGGUUCAAUAGUGAAAGACGGUUUUGCUGUCACUUAUAGAUGGAUCCGCGCCGCAUUAGCUAGUUGGUAAGGUAACGGCUUACCAAGGCAACGAUGCGUAGCCGACCUGAGAGGGUGAUCGGCCACACUGGAACUGAGACACGGUCCAGACUCCUACGGGAGGCAGCAGUAGGGAAUCUUCCGCAAUGGGCGAAAGCCUGACGGAGCAACGCCGCGUGAGUGAUGAAGGUCUUCGGAUCGUAAAACUCUGUUAUUAGGGAAGAACAAAUGUGUAAGUAACUAUGCACGUCUUGACGGUACCUAAUCAGAAAGCCACGGCUAACUACGU
Molecule: ribosomal RNA, 496 nt
Filed under: uncultured bacterium
Lineage: Bacteria
Description: partial 16S ribosomal RNA
Rfam family: Bacterial small subunit ribosomal RNA
Source: RNAcentral